Long non-coding RNA from Impatiens glandulifera, 214 nucleotides. RefSeq lists it as uncharacterized. The record is from RefSeq and is a predicted model, not a curated record. The transcript has 3 exons. NCBI's taxonomy places the organism in Eukaryota, Viridiplantae, Streptophyta, Magnoliopsida, Ericales, Balsaminaceae.
CUCAGUUGGUUGUCUUCAUUAACCUCCAACAGUGGUGGUUGGCAUGGCCCUAGGUUGAAAAGUCAUCUUCAGGAAUUGAUGGGUGAAGAACAGGUUUUGAUCUUAACUCUGUGAAGCCUCAUGAGUACAAACUCAUUAUGAAUUGUGGUUGCAGGAGGUGAUAGUGCAGUAGGUUGGGUUUUGGGACUUCUCGGUACAGGCAACGACUUUUCAA